This 1030-nucleotide small RNA is filed under the name Pan troglodytes (chimpanzee). RNAcentral describes it as "processed transcript". Lineage: Eukaryota; Metazoa; Chordata; Mammalia; Primates; Hominidae. The record is from RNAcentral.
GCCUCAGCUGCAGCAGCCACAGCUGAGCUGCUGAAGAAACAGGAGGAGCUCAACCGGAAGGCAGAGGAGUUGGACCGAAGGGAGCGAGAGCUGCAGCAUGCUGCCCUGGGGGGCACAGCUACUCGACAGAACAAUUGGCCCCCUCUACCUUCUUUUUGUCCAGUUCAGCCCUGCUUUUUCCAGGACAUCUCCAUGGAGAUCCCCCAAGAAUUUCAGAAGACUGUAUCCACCAUGUACUACCUCUGGAUGUGCAGCACGCUGGCUCUUCUCCUGAACUUCCUCGCCUGCCUGGCCAGCUUCUGUGUGGAAACCAACAAUGGCGCAGGCUUUGGGCUUUCUAUCCUCUGGGUCCUCCUUUUCACUCCCUGCUCCUUUGUCUGCUGGUACCGCCCCAUGUAUAAGGCUUUCCGGAGUGACAGUUCAUUCAAUUUCUUCGUUUUCUUCUUCAUUUUCUUCGUCCAGGAUGUGCUCUUUGUCCUCCAGGCCAUUGGUAUCCCAGUGGCUGGAUCUCCGCUCUGGUGGUGCCGAAGGGCAACACAGCAGUAUCCGUGCUCAUGCUGCUGGUCGCCCUGCUCUUCACUGGCAUUGCUGUGCUAGGAAUUGUCAUGCUGAAACGGAUCCACUCCUUAUACCGCCGCACAGGUGCCAGCUUUCAGAAGGCCCAGCAAGAAUUUGCUGCUGGUGUCUUCUCCAACCCUGCGGUGCGAACCGCAGCUGCCAAUGCAGCCGCUGGGGCUGCUGAAAAUGCCUUCCGGGCCCCGUGACCCCUGACUGGGAUGCCCUGGCCCUGCUACUUGAGGGAGCUGACUUAGCUCCCGUCCCUAAGGUCUCUGGGACUUGGAGAGACAUCACUAACUGAUGGCUCCUCCGUAGUGCUCCCAAUCCUAUGGCCAUGACUGCUGAACCUGACAGGCGUGUGGGGAGUUCACUGUGACCUAGUCCCCCCAUCAGGCCACACUGCUGCCACCUCUCACACGCCCCAACCCAGCUUCCCUCUGCUGUGCCACGGCUGUUGCUUCGGUUAUUUAAA